GACGAACGCUGGCGGCGUGCUUAACACAUGCAAGUCGAACGGAAAGGCCCUGCUUUUGUGGGGUGCUCGAGUGGCGAACGGGUGAGUAACACGUGAGUAACCUGCCCUUGACUUUGGGAUAACUUCAUGAAACUGGGGCUAAUACCGGAUAGGAGCUCCUGCUGCAUGGUGGGGGUGGGAAAGUUUCGGCGGUUGGGGAUGGACUCGCGGCUUAUCAGCUUGUUGGUGGGGUAGUGGCUUACCAAGGCUUUGACGGGUAGCCGGCCUGAGAGGGUGACCGGCCACAUUGGGACUGGGAUGCGGCACAGACUACUCCGGGAGGCAGCAGUGGGGAAUAUUGCACAAUGGGCGGAAGCCUGAUGCAGCCACGCCGCGUGCGGGAUGACGGCCUUCGGGUUGUAAACCGCUUUCGCCUGUGACGAAGCGUGAGUGACGGUAAUGGGUAAAGAAGCACCGGCUAACUACGUG
This 468-nucleotide ribosomal RNA is filed under the name uncultured bacterium. Its description in RNAcentral is "partial 16S ribosomal RNA". It matches the Rfam family "Bacterial small subunit ribosomal RNA", at positions 28 to 507 of the family's 1533-position model. The record is from RNAcentral.